UAAUAGCUCAGUUGGUAGAGCAUGAGACUCUUAAUUUCAGGGUCAUGGGGUUGAGCCCUAUGUUGGGCAAAA
Molecule: transfer RNA, 72 nt
Filed under: Podarcis lilfordi (Lilford's wall lizard)
Lineage: Eukaryota; Metazoa; Chordata; Lepidosauria; Squamata; Lacertidae
Description: tRNA.Lys
Rfam family: tRNA (bases 4-61)
About the family: Transfer RNA (tRNA) molecules are approximately 80 nucleotides in length.
Source: RNAcentral